UACGGGGGGUGCGAGCGUUGUCCGGAAUCACUGGGCGUAAAGGGCGCGUAGGUGGCGUCGUAAGUUUGUGGUGAAAGCCCGGAGCUCAACUCCGGGUCUGCCGCGAAUACUGCGAGGCUUGAGUGCUGUAGAGGGGGGUAGAAUGCCGGGUGUAGCGGUGGAAUGCGUAGAGAUCCGGAAGAACACCGGUGGCGAAGGCGGUCCGCUGGGGUGUUGCUGACGCUGAGGCGCGACAGCGUGGGGAGCAAACAGG
Molecule: ribosomal RNA, 253 nt
Filed under: uncultured bacterium
Lineage: Bacteria
Description: partial 16S ribosomal RNA
Rfam family: Bacterial small subunit ribosomal RNA
Source: RNAcentral